AUGGCUGUCGUCAGCUCGUGUCGUGAGAUGUUGGGUUAAGUCCCGCAACGAGCGCAACCCUCGCCUUUAGUUGCCAUCAUUCAGUUGGGCACUCUAAAGGGACUGCCGGUGUUAAACCGGAGGAAGGUGGGGAUGACGUCAAGUCCUCAUGGCCUUUAUGACCAGGGCUACACACGUGCUACAAUGGCCGGUACAAAGGGUCGCGAAGCCGCGAGGCGAAGCCAAUCCCAAAAAACCGGUCUCAGUUCGGAUUGGAGUCUGCAACUCGACUCCAUGAAGUCGGAAUCGCUAGUAAUCGCGGAUCAGCACGCCGCGGUGAAUACGUUCCCGGGCCUUGUACACACCGCCCGUCACACCAUGGGAGUCAGUUGCUCCAGAAAUGGCCGCGCCAACCCGCAAGGGGAGCAGGUCCUUAAGGAGUGACUGGUGACUGGGGUGAAGUCGUAACAAGGUAGCCGUAGGGGAACCUGCGGCUGGAUCACCUCCUUUCUAAGGAGCUUUUUUCUUCCGCGAGGAGGGGAACAGCGCACUAGGUCAAGCGAGUUCGAGCAGUCUUGGAUAGGAUCGUGGGUUUUGCUCUUCGGUUUUGAGGGACCGAUACGGAAGACGUAUGACUGGUUCUUUGGAAGAAACUUGGGGAUGGCGCUCAUAUGGGCCUGUAGCUCAGUUGGUUAGAGCACACGCUUGAUAAGCGUGGGGUCGAUAGUUCAAAUCUAUCCAGGCCCAGCAAACCAACUGAAGAGAGGGGGCCGUAGCUCAGCUGGGAGAGCGCCAGCUUUGCAAGCUGGAUGUCGUCGGUUCGAUCCCGAUCGGCUCCACCAGGUUUUGGACCAAGAGUUCUUUGACAAUUGCAUAUGCGCAAGUAGGAAGUAGAGAGGAAGCCGGCGUGCCCGUAUGGACAACGGGUGGAAGGACUGCGCUGGACCUUGGUCUCUUUGAGGAGAAGUGGACGAAGGAGAGAGAUGACCAAGCUACGAAGGGCACACGAUGGAUGCCUAGGUGACAGGAGGCGAAGAAGGACGUGGGUAGCUGCGAAAAGCGUCGGGGAGCCGCUAACCAGGCUUUGAUCCGGCGAUAUCCGAAUGGGGAAACCCGG
RNAcentral lists this small RNA (1096 nucleotides) under uncultured Anaeromyxobacter sp. RNAcentral describes it as "bacterial SSU rRNA". The stretch from base 1 to 489 matches the Rfam family "Bacterial small subunit ribosomal RNA", at positions 1045 to 1533 of the family's 1533-position model. The record is from RNAcentral. Lineage: Bacteria; Pseudomonadati; Myxococcota; Myxococcia; Myxococcales; Anaeromyxobacteraceae.